This is a long non-coding RNA of Talpa occidentalis (Iberian mole), 539 nucleotides long. RefSeq lists it as uncharacterized. The transcript has 3 exons. NCBI's taxonomy places the organism in Eukaryota, Metazoa, Chordata, Mammalia, Eulipotyphla, Talpidae. The record is from RefSeq and is a predicted model, not a curated record.
CCCAGAUCCCGCCAGGGCUCAGCGGGGGCCCCGCGCCCCAGCCCCGAGGCCCUCGAUGCCCUAAUAGUCUGUGAAAUGCUCGGUGUUCAGAUCCUGGGCAGUUUGGAGUGGAAACAAUAUGCUUUAGGGCACUGACCCUUAGGAUGGACAUAGAAUUAUCUGCUUGGAAUGGUUUGGUGUGCAGUUGAUUUAGGACUUCCUGAUCAUCUAAGUGCAACACAGCGUAGCAGCCUCACUGAAAGGUCUGAUUUCAAGAGACAUUCCUGGAACCUCACCUACAGCAGCACUCUAGGGGUCCCGUUGGGAGUAGCUCCUUUUUUUUUCUGUAGACGAUUCUGAACCUUUCGAGAUUUUACCACUUUCAUUCUCACCUCAAAAACUUCAUGAAUGGCCUUCCGGAAGCAAUGAAAAUUAUAAUCAAUAAGCCCUGGAGAAGAGAAAAAAUGUUUAGCAAUGUCACAUAGGAAAAAAUCUCCAUCUUUCCAUGACUCCAGGGUCAGGACAAGCAAGUAGGUGUGAAUAGAGGAGUAGCUUUAACC